This 385-nucleotide long non-coding RNA is filed under the name Nicotiana benthamiana. RNAcentral's name for it is "long non-coding RNA (NBEN_LNC009765)". Lineage: Eukaryota; Viridiplantae; Streptophyta; Magnoliopsida; Solanales; Solanaceae. The record is from RNAcentral.
AUGCUUGUAAAUGCUGCUCUGAAGGUUUGAAACCCCGGACUUUCACAUCGUAACGCUAUAUUAAGGUGUGACACACACCCCAUGACGAGUGAGGGAUCGGUUACUAUUGAGGAUUGUGACUUGGUCCAUCCCGAGUGAUAAUUCUACUAGAUUGGCGACUGAUACACAUACCUUAUUGAUAUUCAUUAGGCUUGUUGCCAUAUUUGGGGCCAUGUGCCGACUUGUACAAUCCUUCGGGGAUUGAUAGUUCUAUUCAUGCAUCCAUUGGCAUAUCAUUUGGUCUGAGUCCAAAAUUUUCAUAUUGUUUUGCAAACUCAGCCACAUUUCUAAGUUUUGAAAACUCAAAUGACUUCUUAAUGAUAUUUCGGGUUGAGGAUUUCUGUCU